GAUGAACGCUGGCGGCGUGCCUAAUACAUGCCAGUCGAGCGAACGGACGAGAAGCUUGCUUCUCUGAUGUUAGCGGCGGACGGGUGAGUAACACGUGGAUAACCUACCUAUAAGACUAGGAUAACUUCGGGAAACCGGAGCUAAUACCGGAUGAUAUUUUGAACCGCAUGGUUCAAAAGUGAAAGACGGUCUUGCUGUCACUUAUAGAUGGAUCCGCGCUGCAUUAGCUAGUUGGUAAGGUAACGGCUUACCAAGGCAACGAUGCAUAGCCGACCUGAGAGGGUGAUCGGCCACACUGGAACUGAGACACGGUCCAGACUCCUACGGGAGGCAGCAGUAGGGAAUCUUCCGCAAUGGGCGAAAGCCUGACGGAGCAACGCCGCGUGAGUGAUGAAGGUCUUCGGAUCGUAAAACUCUGUUAUUAGGGAAGAACAUAUGUGUAAGUAACUGUGCACAUCUUGACGGUACCUAAUCAGAAAGCCACGGCUAACUACGUG
RNAcentral lists this ribosomal RNA (497 nucleotides) under uncultured bacterium. RNAcentral's name for it is "partial 16S ribosomal RNA". It matches the Rfam family "Bacterial small subunit ribosomal RNA", at positions 28 to 507 of the family's 1533-position model. The record is from RNAcentral.